Molecule: long non-coding RNA, 502 nt
Organism: Hibiscus syriacus
Lineage: Eukaryota; Viridiplantae; Streptophyta; Magnoliopsida; Malvales; Malvaceae
Exons: 3
Source: RefSeq, a predicted model, not a curated record
UCUUUGCAGGGGGUGCUGAUGGUGGAGUUGGGAUUGGUGUUAAUACCUCUCCACGUAGACCAGCCAUCGAGAAGGCUCAAGCAGAGCUGAGAGAAGAGUAUAAUUUUCGUGAGGAGAGGAGAAGGGAAUUAGAGUUUCUAGAGAAAGUAUGUUUUUUUAUCUUCUCUUUCUUCUGAUUUCUUAUAGAUUAAUAUUCAUCAUAAAACACAUUGCUAUCAGGGUGGAAAUCCCUUGGAUUUCAAAUAUGGCAAUGCAGCUUCUGUUAGUGUCCUAUCUACUUCUCUCACUGAUCAGCAAGCACAAUAUUUUGCAACCAGUGAAGCGAAAGGUAGUUUUGCACCUACUGCCUCACCUCACGGUGAUUCUGUAGAGAGUAGUGGUAGACCAGGGGUUCCCUUGGCUUGUGAACCCAAUAGUGCCGAUAAUCUAUUACUUUUUGAUGGUGAAAAUGAGUUGCCUGAAGGUGAAAGAAGUCCGUACAUCCUUGUAAUACUGUUGUUCU